AACGAACGCUGGCGGCAUGCCUAACACAUGCAAGUCGAACGAGACCUUCGGGUCUAGUGGCGCACGGGUGCGUAACGCGUGGGAACCUGCCCUUAGGUUCGGAAUAACUCCCCGAAAGGGGUGCUAAUACCGGAUAAUGUCUUCGGACCAAAGAUUUAUCGCCUUUGGAUGGGCCCGCGUUGGAUUAGCUAGUUGGUAGGGUAAAAGCCUACCAAGGCGACGAUCCAUCGCUGGUCUGAGGGGAUGAUCAGCCACACUGGGACUGAGACACGGCCCAGACUCCUACGGGAGGCAGCAGUAGGGAAUAUUGGACAAUGGGCGAAAGCCUGAUACAGCAAUGCCGCGUGAGUGAUGAAGGCCUUAGGGUUGUAAAGCUCUUUUACCCGGGAUGAUAAUGACAGUACCGGGAGAAUAAGCUCCGGCUAACUCCGUG
This 433-nucleotide ribosomal RNA is filed under the name uncultured bacterium. RNAcentral describes it as "partial 16S ribosomal RNA". It matches the Rfam family "Bacterial small subunit ribosomal RNA", at positions 29 to 507 of the family's 1533-position model. The record is from RNAcentral.